UACGUAGGGGGCAAGCGUUGUCCGGAAUUAUUGGGCGUAAAGAGCGCGUAGGCGGCCUGGUAAGUAGGGGGUGAAAUCCUGCGGCUUAACCGCAGGGCUGCCUUCUAAACUGUCAGGCUUGAGCACGGUAGAGGCAGAUGGAAUUCCCGGUGUAGCGGUGGAAUGCGUAGAGAUCGGGAAGAACAUCAGUGGCGAAGGCGGUCUGCUGGGCCGUUGCUGACGCUGAGGCGCGACAGCGUGGGGAGCAAACAGG
Molecule: ribosomal RNA, 253 nt
Filed under: uncultured bacterium
Lineage: Bacteria
Description: partial 16S ribosomal RNA
Rfam family: Bacterial small subunit ribosomal RNA
Source: RNAcentral